Molecule: ribosomal RNA, 253 nt
Filed under: uncultured bacterium
Lineage: Bacteria
Description: partial 16S ribosomal RNA
Rfam family: Bacterial small subunit ribosomal RNA
Source: RNAcentral
UACGUAGGUGACCAGCGUUGUCCGGAUUUACUGGGCGUAAAGAGCGCGCAGGCGGUCGUUCAAGUCGAGUGUGAAAGCCCCCGGCUCAACUGGGGAGGGUCAUUCGAUACUGAUCGACUUGAAGGCAGGAGAGGGAAGUGGAAUUCCCGGUGUAGUGGUGAAAUGCGUAGAUAUCUGGAGGAACACCGGUGGCGAAGGCGGCAUCCUGGACCGGCAUUGACGCUGAGGAGCGAAAGCCAGGGGAGCAAACGGG